Molecule: long non-coding RNA, 607 nt
Organism: Prionailurus viverrinus (fishing cat)
Lineage: Eukaryota; Metazoa; Chordata; Mammalia; Carnivora; Felidae
Exons: 5
Source: RefSeq, a predicted model, not a curated record
GGUGGGGCAGGGGAGAAAGCAUUUCUCAGGUUUGCCAUUUAUCUUCCUUUUGGAGAUGCGAGAGAGUACUGGAAGAGGAAAGGGAACAGCAGAGAGAGUCUGUCUGAGAAUGAAGUCAAAGCAAAAAGCUGCCAAAAAGUGGAGGAAAAAUGAUAGAGCUCAGAAAACCCCAGGGAAGGACUUGGAUUUAGCUGUGGCCAUUCCUUAAACAUCUCAGGACAACACCUCCCUCGGAACAAGCAAAUUAAGAGUAAGAUGUUUGAAGAAAAAAAAAAAAAAAAGAAGUAAGACAUUUGCAAGGAAUCAUGGGCUUACAGCAUAGAAAUCAAAUUGGAGAAAUCAAAAGGAGAUUUAAUCCACCAAAGGACCAUUUCAUGUUGGUAAUAAUAGAAUGCCUAAGGGAACAUGAAAUUAAAGGAUUCAUGAGAAACAACAUAACAUCAGGUAAGACUAGCCUGGAUGAUGAAAGAGACACGCGGUCCAGGGACUCCACUGCCCCAUCUGCCGGCCAGCCGUCCUGAAGAAGCAGAGCUGCCGAGCUGACUGGAAGUUGAGCUUAGCUGAGACCAGAAGAGCUGCCCAGCUAAAUGCUACCCAAAUCACUGUC